Molecule: unclassified non-coding RNA, 200 nt
Filed under: soil metagenome
Description: partial contains internal transcribed spacer 2 and large subunit ribosomal RNA
Source: RNAcentral
CGAGCGUCAUUACAACCCUCAAGCUCAGCUUGGUGUUGGGCUCGCCCCCAGUGGGCCUGCCUCAAAAUCAGUGGCGGCUCCGUCCAGUCUCAAGCGCAGUAAUACUCGCCGCUUGUUAGAUUUGGGCGGCGGCCCGCUAUACAACCCCCACUUUUUACAAGGUUGACCUCGGAUCAGGUAGGGAUACCCGCUGAACUUAA